RNAcentral lists this unclassified non-coding RNA (269 nucleotides) under plant metagenome. RNAcentral's name for it is "partial contains small subunit ribosomal RNA, internal transcribed spacer 1, and 5.8S ribosomal RNA". The record is from RNAcentral.
UUUCCGUAGGUGAACCUGCGGAAGGAUCAUUAAUGAGUUGUCAUGGGGUUCGAUGCUGGCAGCCAAUUUUUGGAUGCAUGUGCUUGCCCUAACAAUCAUCUUCCAAACACCUGUGCACAUUUUUGAGGGAGUCUUGAGUUGGUUGCCGCUCUUGGGUGAUUCUCUCACAUUCCCUUAAAUCAUUAUACGCUAUUAACAAUGUUGAACGUGCUCUGUGCCGCAAGGCUAUUAAUAUAAUACAACUUUUAACAACGGAUCUCUUGGCUCUC